Molecule: long non-coding RNA, 1428 nt
Organism: Oncorhynchus tshawytscha (Chinook salmon)
Lineage: Eukaryota; Metazoa; Chordata; Actinopteri; Salmoniformes; Salmonidae
Exons: 7
Source: RefSeq, a predicted model, not a curated record
UGAAAUGAGCGUUGUCGAGAUUAAUAUAUGCUUUGCUUUUAGAAUAUUGUGUAUCUUCAUCGUUAUGAUAGAAGGUGAUGUCUACAUAAAGGCUAUAAAAAUAACGGCCAACAAUGUUGCGUGAUCCCAUAAUGAACCGGAGGUGACAAGCAUGGCGAAGACCGACUCCCGUUAUUUUGAUGACGAAAACACAUGUUGGGUGUAUGAUUGAUAUUCAUAAAUACAAAGACCGUGAAUGCAUGGGGAAGCCAUUGUUGACAUAAGCAAGUCUUCCGCUAAGGGACAGCACGAAAUGUAAUGAAGGGACAUGGGUGUUCCAAAAUAGGGCAGAACCAGCAGGAGUUGUUUCCCUUCGGGCGUAGCUGUGCAGUCUGAGAAAAAUUAAGAUAUAAAAGGCACAGGACUCCAUGAACCAUUUGCUUCUCAUAUUCAUAGACAACUUUCCUCCCAAGGCCACCAUAGAGCCUAGCUCAACCUUGGUUCCCUUCUUGCACAACUACUGUGACGUUUGCAACAAGAAGCCCUCUGGCUUUAUUGUCAUGGGAAACAUGUUUACACUGCCAAGCAAGUCUCUCGUGCUGAAGCUACAGCUGAAGAUCAGGGAGCAGCAGGACCUGCUCUUCUGCUUCAUGAAUUUCUUCACGCUGGAGGGUGCAGUGCACGUGCUCCAGUUCUGCCUCACGGUGGAAACUGCUCCAGGACCCAGAGCUGAGCAACAGUCAGCUGCUGGCAGACUUCCCAUCUCCUCAUAGUCUGGACUCAGUUCGUGGACAAGAUGCUGCCUGAUGUCAAUCUAGCUCUUCAAUGACCUGUUCAAGAACAACGCCAACUGAUCGGAGAGAGCAGAGAAGAAACACAACCAGAACUACUUCAUGAAGAUGAUCACUGUGGAAGGGGUCUAUUUUAUGUACAGUAUGUGAAAAGUUAGAUGCACAAAUAUUAUACACCCCCAGUAAGUAUGGCACCCAGGGUAUUCAGUGCAGUACACUGCACAACAUAGUUUACCACAAUUCAUCAACAACUUUUAAGGGCUGUUUGACUGUACUGUAUGAUUUAAACAGAAGUAAACACAUUUCAGUUCAGUGAUGAAAAGACCAGAUUAGGAUGUGUCAGAGUUUGUAUUCAUUUGCGUCUAUUUUCCUCAGUUGACUGGACCUGGUUCUUUUAGAACUGUUUCCUGAACUGAACAAGCAAGGACAGCAGGAGACUGCUUCUAACAUGGCUCCAUGGACGUGGCAAGAGGAUUGUCAGGCUUUAGUCUCUGCUUCAUCUGCUGCAUGUUGUUGGAAUAAACUGUAUACAGCACUUAAACCACUCAUACCGCUGCACUUGUGAUAAUUUUUACUGAUUCAUAAAACAAUAAUACUGAAAAGGAUGUGACUGAACAUGAUUGUGAUAAUAAAAGAAAAACGUCUGAAGACUCAUUAA